AGAGUUUGAUCCUGGCUCAGGACGAACGCUGGCGGCGUGCUUAACACAUGCAAGUCGAACGGUAAGGCCCCUUCGGGGGUACGCGAGUGGCGAACGGAUGAGUAACACGUGAGCAACCUGCCCUUGACACUGGAAUAACAGUUGGAAACAGCUGCUAAUGCCAGAUAUGACCUUCGGUGGCAUCACCCGAAGGUGGAAAGUGCUUAGCGGUCAAGGAUGGGCUCGCGGCCUAUCAGCUUGUUGGUGAGGUAACGGCUCACCAAGGCUUCGACGGGUAGCCGGCCUGAGAGGGCGACCGGCCACACUGGGACUGAGAUACGGCCCAGACUCCUACGGGAGGCAGCAGUGGGGAAUAUUGCACAAUGGGCGCAAGCCUGAUGCAGCAACGCCGCGUGCGGGAUGACGGCCUUCGGGUUGUAAACCGCUUUCAGUUCCGACGAAGCGCAAGUGACGGUAGGAACAGAAGAAGGACCGGCCAACUACGUGCCAGCAGCCGCGGUAAU
RNAcentral lists this ribosomal RNA (503 nucleotides) under uncultured soil bacterium. Its description in RNAcentral is "bacterial SSU rRNA". It matches the Rfam family "Bacterial small subunit ribosomal RNA", at positions 8 to 524 of the family's 1533-position model. The record is from RNAcentral.